RNAcentral lists this ribosomal RNA (492 nucleotides) under uncultured bacterium. Its description in RNAcentral is "partial 16S ribosomal RNA". It matches the Rfam family "Bacterial small subunit ribosomal RNA", at positions 29 to 507 of the family's 1533-position model. The record is from RNAcentral.
AGUGAACGCUGGCGGUAUGCCUAACACAUGCAAGUCGAACGGCAGCACAGUAAGAGCUUGCUCUUACGGGUGGCGAGUGGCGGACGGGUGAGGAAUACAUCGGAAUCUACUUUUUCGUGGGGGAUAACGUAGGGAAACUUACGCUAAUACCGCAUACGACCUACGGGUGAGAGCAGGGGAUCUUCGGACCUUGCGCGAUUGAAUGAGCCGAUGUCGGAUUAGCUAGUUGGCGGGGUAAAGGCCCACCAAGGCGACGACCCGUAGCUGGUCUGAGAGGAUGAUCAGCCACACUGGAACUGAGACACGGUCCAGACUCCUACGGGAGGCAGCAGUGGGGAAUAUUGGACAAUGGGCGCAAGCCUGAUCCAGCCAUACCGCGUGGGUGAAGAAGGCCUUCGGGUUGUAAAGCCCUUUUGUUGGGAAAGAAAAGCAGCAGGUUAAUACCCCGCUGUUCUGACGGUACCCAAAGAAUAAGCACCGGCUAACUUCGUG